RNAcentral lists this ribosomal RNA (441 nucleotides) under uncultured bacterium. Its description in RNAcentral is "partial 16S ribosomal RNA". It matches the Rfam family "Bacterial small subunit ribosomal RNA", at positions 355 to 787 of the family's 1533-position model. The record is from RNAcentral.
UGGGGAAUUUUGGACAAUGGGCGAAAGCCUGAUCCAGCAAUGCCGCGUGUGUGAAGAAGGCCUUCGGGUUGUAAAGCACUUUUGUCCGGAAAGAAAUCCUUGGCUCUAAUACAGUCGGGGGAUGACGGUACCGGAAGAAUAAGCACCGGCUAACUACGUGCCAGCAGCCGCGGUAAUACGUAGGGUGCAAGCGUUAAUCGGAAUUACUGGGCGUAAAGCGUGCGCAGGCGGUUUGCUAAGACCGAUGUGAAAUCCCCGGGCUCAACCUGGGAACUGCAUUGGUGACUGGCAGGCUAGACGUAUGGCAGAGGGGGGUAGAAUUCCACGUGUAGCAGUGAAAUGCGUAGAGAUGUGGAGGAAUACCGAUGGCGAAGGCAGCCCCCUGGGCCAAUACUGACGCUCAUGCACGAAAGCGUGGGGAGCAAACAGGAUUAGAUACCC